RNAcentral lists this ribosomal RNA (487 nucleotides) under uncultured bacterium. Its description in RNAcentral is "partial 16S ribosomal RNA". It matches the Rfam family "Bacterial small subunit ribosomal RNA", at positions 28 to 507 of the family's 1533-position model. The record is from RNAcentral.
GAUGAACGCUAGCGAUAGGCUUAACACAUGCAAGUCGAGGGGCAGCACAAGGUAGCUUGCUAUCUGGGUGGCGACCGGCGCACGGGUGCGUAACGCGUAUGCAACUUGCCCUAUACAGGAGGAUAACCCGUCGAAAGACGGACUAAUACUGCGUAUGCUCACAACUUGGCAUCAAGUGGUGAGGAAAGAAAUUCGGUAUAGGAUAGGCAUGCGUCCCAUUAGCUUGUUGGUGAGGUAACGGCUCACCAAGGCAACGAUGGGUAGGGGAACUGAGAGGUUUAUCCCCCACACUGGUACUGAGACACGGACCAGACUCCUACGGGAGGCAGCAGUGAGGAAUAUUGGUCAAUGGGCGCGAGCCUGAACCAGCCAAGUCGCGUGAAGGAGGACUGUCUUAUGGAUUGUAAACUUCUUUUAUACGGGAAUAACAAGAGUCACGGGUGACUCCCUGCAUGUACCGGAUGAAUAAGCAUCGGCUAACUCCGUG